Corynascus novoguineensis is the source of this 85-nucleotide non-coding RNA. The record is from the annotation of a GenBank genome assembly. Lineage: Eukaryota; Fungi; Ascomycota; Sordariomycetes; Sordariales; Chaetomiaceae.
GGUUCUAUAGUGUAGCGGUUAUCACUCCGGAUUCUGAUCUUUUCGGAACAUUCCGGCAACCCCGGUUCGAUUCCGGGUAGGACCU